Molecule: ribosomal RNA, 301 nt
Filed under: uncultured bacterium
Lineage: Bacteria
Description: partial 16S ribosomal RNA
Rfam family: Bacterial small subunit ribosomal RNA
Source: RNAcentral
CAGUCGCCGCGGGAACACGAAGGGGGCUAGCGUUGUUCGGAAUUACUGGGCGUAAAGCGCACGUAGGCGGAUAUUUAAGUCAGGGGUGAAAUCCCGCAGCUCAACUGCGGAACUGCCUUUGAUACUGGGUAUCUUGAGUAUGGAAGAGGUUAGUGGAAUUGCGAGUGUAGAGGUGAAAUUCGUAGAUAUUCGCAGGAACACCAGUGGCGAAGGCGGCUAACUGGUCCAUAACUGACGCUGAGGUGCGAAAGCGUGGGGAGCAAACAGGAUUAGAUACCCCUGUAGUCCCUGUCUCUUAUAC